Molecule: ribosomal RNA, 435 nt
Filed under: uncultured bacterium
Lineage: Bacteria
Description: partial 16S ribosomal RNA
Rfam family: Bacterial small subunit ribosomal RNA
Source: RNAcentral
AGCGAACGCUGGCGGCAGGCUUAACACAUGCAAGUCGAGCGGGCGUAGCAAUACGUCAGCGGCAGACGGGUGAGUAACGCGUGGGAACUUACCUUUUGGUUCGGAACAACACAGGGAAACUUGUCCUAAUACCGGAUAAGCCCUUACGGGGAAAGAUUUAUCGCCGAAAGAUCGGCCCGCGUCUGAUUAGCUAGUUGGUGAGGUAACGGCUCACCAAGGCGACGAUCAGUAGCUGGUCUGAGAGGAUGAUCAGCCACAUUGGGACUGAGACACGGCACAAACUCCUACGGGAGGCAGGAGUGGGGAAUAUUGGAAAAUGGGGGCAAUGCUGAUGCAGCCAUGCCGGGUGAGUGAUGAAGGCCCUAGGGUUGUAAAGCUCUUUUGUGCGGGAAGAUAAUGACGGUACCGAAAGAAUAAGCCCCGGCUAACUUCGUG